CUGUGUAGCUGAUUUUGUGUUGUGUUGUAACGGAGCUACUGAAUAUGUAAGACAAAUUUCGGAUCUCUGAUCUGACAAUAAAGUAUUAUCUUA
Molecule: long non-coding RNA, 93 nt
Organism: Thalassophryne amazonica
Lineage: Eukaryota; Metazoa; Chordata; Actinopteri; Batrachoidiformes; Batrachoididae
Exons: 3
Source: RefSeq, a predicted model, not a curated record